RNAcentral lists this ribosomal RNA (300 nucleotides) under uncultured bacterium. RNAcentral describes it as "bacterial SSU rRNA". It matches the Rfam family "Bacterial small subunit ribosomal RNA", at positions 115 to 416 of the family's 1533-position model. The record is from RNAcentral.
GCGUAGGAAUCUACCUAGAUGUGGGGGAUAACAUGGAGAAAUUCAUGCUAAUACCGCAUAUGCCCCACGGGGUAAAGAGGGCCUCUUCUUGAAAGCUCUUGCAUUUAGAUGAGCCUGCGUCGGAUUAGCUUGUUGGCGGGGUAAUGGCCCACCAAGGCGAUGAUCGGUAUCCGGCCUGAGAGGGCGCACGGACACACUGGAACUGAAACACGGUCCAGACUCCUACGGGAGGCAGCAGUGGGGAAUUUUGCGCAAUGGGGGAAACCCUGACGCAGCAACGCCGCGUGGAGGAUGAAAUAU